CGAGUGGCGAACGGGUGAGUAACAUAUCGGAACGUGCCUAGUAAUGGGGAAUAACUAAUCGAAAGAUUAGCUAAUACCGCAUACGACCUACGGGUGAAAGCGGGGGACCUUCGGGCCUCGCGCGAUUGGAGCGGCCGAUAUCUGAUUAGGUAGUUGGUGGGGUAAAGGCCUACCAAGCCGACGAUCAGUAGCUGGUCUGAGAGGACGAUCAGCCACACUGGAACUGAGACACGGUCCAGACUCC
RNAcentral lists this ribosomal RNA (244 nucleotides) under uncultured bacterium. RNAcentral's name for it is "partial 16S ribosomal RNA". It matches the Rfam family "Bacterial small subunit ribosomal RNA", at positions 92 to 339 of the family's 1533-position model. The record is from RNAcentral.